Molecule: long non-coding RNA, 3966 nt
Organism: Lates calcarifer (barramundi perch)
Lineage: Eukaryota; Metazoa; Chordata; Actinopteri; Centropomidae
Exons: 6
Source: RefSeq, a predicted model, not a curated record
AGCUUUUGAGAGGUUUUACAAAGAUUAAAACUCUAUGGCUUAAAAACAUAUAAUACAAAGAGUGGUGAUUGAUUAUAAAUUGUUUUACAGGCGUCUCUUUUACAAUGGUGGUCUAUGGAGAAAAUGUUUUUUCAUGCGUUGCAGUAACACGAGCGGCCACUGGGGGGAAAAAUGGCGGCAUGGCUGAGCGGCGGCAACGUAUCCAGUUCUCGUGAUACAUCCGUGAUUAAAACCAACGUUUGAACCGUUGCCUCGGUUUGUUAGUACUGUAAGAAAACGUAAUUACUGAAGAGACUAGAUACUAAAACAAGCUUUUUUUGUCGACCACAAGUGAGGCUGGACACUGAAUACACCUGCGGCGCGAAGGUGUCACCACUUCGUCCACGACAUCGUCCACGAUCGCAGAGACAUGGUCCAUGAUCGGAGAGACAUUGUUGAGGAUGAGGGAGACAUCGUCCACGAUCAGAGACGUUGUCCAUGAUUGCAGAGACCUUGUCAAAGAUGAGAGAGACGUUGUCCAUGAUCAGAGACAUUGUCCCAUGCUUCGUAGAGACCUUGCGAUAGAAUCGGCGGAGACGGGGGUCACCGAUUUGACGGCACUGCCCGCGAUCAUGGAGACAUUGUUGAUGGUCACAGAGACAGCGUCUAUGAUCUCAGAGACAUCAUCCACGAUCACAAAGACAUUGUCCAUGAUCACAGAGACUUUGUCCAUAAUCUCAGAGACAUUGUCCGCGAUCACAGAGACGUAGUCCACGAUCACAGAGACGUAGUCCACGAUCACAGAGACGUAGUCCACGAUCACAGAGAGUCUUUGUACACUGAGGAAGUUCUUUGAGACCAGGACAGAGGCCUCCAGGUGUCACCACUUCGUCCAUGACAUCGUCCACGAUCGCAGAGACAUCGUCCAUGAUCGCAGAGACAUGGUCCAUGAUCGGAGAGACAUUGUUGAGGAUGAGGGAGACAUCGUCCACGAUCAGAGACGUUGUCCAUGAUCGCAGAGACCUUGUCAAAGAUGAGAGAGACGUUGUCCAUGAUCAGAGACAUUGUCCCAUGCUUCGUAGAGACCUUGCGAUAGAAUCGGCGGAGACGGGGGUCACCGAUUUGACGGCACUGCCCGCGAUCAUGGAGACAUUGUUGAUGGUCACAGAGACAGCGUCUAUGAUCUCAGAGACAUCGUCCACGAUCACAAAGACAUUGUCCAUGAUCACAGAGACUUUGUCCAUAAUCUCAGAGACAUUGUCCGUGAUCACAGAGACGUAGUCCACGAUCACAGAGCGUGAUCGUCCACGAUCACAAAGACAUUGUCCACGAUCGCAGAGUGUUUUCAUUCAAUAAAGAAGUUCUUUGAGACCAGGACUGAGGCCUCCAGGUGUCACUACUUCGUCCACGACAUCGUCCACGAUCGCAGAGACAUCGUCCACGAUCACAGAGACAUGGUCCAUGAUCGGAGAGACAUUGUUGAGGAUGAGGGAGACAUCGUCCACGAUCAGAGACGUUGUCCAUGAUCGCAGAGACCUUGUCAAAGAUGAGAGAGACGUUGUCCAUGAUCAGAGACAUUGUCCCAUGCUUCGUAGAGACCUUGCGAUAGAAUCGGCGGAGACGGGGGUCACCGAUUUGACGGCACUGCCCGUGAUCAUGGAGACAUUGUUGAUGGUCACAGAGACAGCGUCUAUGAUCUCAGAGACAUCGUCCACGAUCACAAAGACAUUGUCCAUGAUCACAGAGACUUUGUCCAUAAUCUCAGAGACAUUGUCCGCGAUCACAGAGACGUAGUCCACGAUCACAGAGACGUAGUCCACGAUCACAGAGAGUCUUUGUACACUGAGGAAGUUCUUUGAGACCAGGACAGAGGCCUCCAGGUGUCACCACUUUGUCCACGACAUCGUCCACGAUCGCAGAGACAUGGUCCAUGAUCGGAGAGACAUUGUUGAGGAUGAGGGAGACAUCGUCCACGAUCAGAGACGUUGUCCAUGAUCGCAGAGACCUUGUCAAAGAUGAGAGAGACGUUGUCCAUGAUCAGAGACAUUGUCCCAUGCUUCGUAGAGACCUUGCGAUAGAAUCGGCGGAGACGGGGGUCACCGAUUUGACGGCACUGCCCGCGAUCAUGGAGACAUUGUUGAUGGUCACAGAGACAGCAUCUAUGAUCUCAGAGACAUCGUCCACGAUCACAAAGACAUUGUCCAUGAUCACAGAGACUUUGUCCAUAAUCUCAGAGACAUUGUCCGCGAUCACAGAGAGUCUUUGUACAAUAAAGAAGUUCUUUGAGACCAGGACAGAGGCCUCCAGAAGGAGAGGACGACAGCAGCUGAAGACCUGAAGUGGAUGAGAGAAAACAAGUGUUACAAAGCUGUUAAUUAGAUGAAAAGAUCUCGAUCACGUGAAAACACUGUUUUUCCUCUACCAUCUGUAAUGGAGUCAUGGGCACAUUUUCCAAAGUCUCAAAGAUGUUCUUCUUUGGAAGAUGUGCUCAUAACUACAUUAGCCCUAACUCUAACCAGCUCUAAGAGAUGUUUCCUUGUGGUCAAAUGUCUGUCAUUAUCUUUGCUGUGAUAUGUUAAGUGUUGUCUGUGUAUCUUUCUAAACUUUUGCAUUUCUCUAUUUUGUAACUAAAAUUAUACAAAUCAUUUUAAUGCAUUUUAAGAAAAAAACAUAAUGUUUUAAUUUUUAUACUUUUUUUUAAGGCUUUUUCCUUUUAAAAGGUUUUGCACUCAUUGCUCAGAUAUAGUUAAGGAUUUUUUGAUUAGUUUUCAAAAAGUUUCAUACUUAUGUUUUACUUUUAAAUAUAUAUUUUCAAAGGUUUUCACUAUAUAUUUAAAGGCUUUAUACUUGUUUUUAGACUUACUGGUUAAGGUUUUGUACUCAACUUUUUAUGGGUUUAAUACUUAAUUCUUAGACCUAUGUUAAAAGCUUUCAUAGAUAUAGAUAUAUACACUUUUGUCUAUGUAAAGCAGUUAUACUAUGGUGUUCUGAGUUAGUCACACCACAGAAAAAUGUGCUAUUAGCCACCCAGCUAAAUUUGAAUGGUUAAAAAACAUCUGCAAAUAUAUAAAAUUAGGUUUCAAAAUCAUUUAAAAAACAAGGAGCUCUCUCUGCUCUGAGACACUGGGGGCGUGUCCGCUGAAGGUGCUUAAAGCACCCACAGUGACAGUUAGCAUCCUAUUCUGUAAAUGUUUGGGCCACUGAAGCUUUUUGUUUUUGUUGAUUAAAUGGCCUGUCUUCAGUAGUAAGGCAUCAAAUUAAUAAAAAAUAAAAAAUCACAGUAUAGUGACACCUGUCUUUAAGGAGUCAAGAAACAAGUGUGUUUAUGCAGUCAUAUUACUGAUGUAUAUAAAAGUAGGUAUAAUGAUGUUACACUGAUAAUAAACUCACUUUGUUGUAACUAGUGUGUUAUUAUGGCUACAAGUGAGUUACUGCCUCAGUGUAACCAGUAUUUUCUAACAUAAAUAAUGUUUUAAUAGACAAAUCUCUGAGUUUGCUUUGCAGACUUAAAAGGCUUUAACCUUAUUUAUCAAACCUGUUUUAUGAGUUUUAUCCUUAUGUUUUAGAAUUAUUCCUUUACAGUUUGAAAUUUAUUGUUAAAUGAUUUCAUACUUACUUUUUAGAACUAUUUAUUUAAGGUUUUACAUUUAUUUUUUACACAUUUUUUCAGGGUUGGUUUUAUACUUAAUAUUUAAAGGUUUUCAAUUUAUUAAAUUAUUUUAAAGUUUAAUACUUACUAUUAAAACUAUUUACUAAAAGGGUUUCUAUUCUAUUCUAAACUAAGGUUUUAUAUUUUCUGUACAUAUAGUUUUCCAUAUUUUUAAAACUUUUUUGCAGCUACAUUGUUGAAAAAUACCAAUUAAUACUAAUUACAACAGCUAAUUAAAGCAGCUUUAAUUUGUUCCAGGCAAGAGGUUUUAAAGUGUCAAACUGCAGCUGAAAUAAUGACAGAGUCAGACUGAAAAGAAUAAACUAACACUGACCUUC